RNAcentral lists this ribosomal RNA (314 nucleotides) under uncultured bacterium. RNAcentral's name for it is "bacterial SSU rRNA". It matches the Rfam family "Bacterial small subunit ribosomal RNA", at positions 28 to 334 of the family's 1533-position model. The record is from RNAcentral.
GAUGAACGCUAGCGGCAGGCUUAACACAUGCAAGUCGAGGGGCAUCGGGAGGAAAGCUUGCUUUCCUUGCCGGCGACCGGCGCACGGGUGAGUAACACGUAUGCAACCUGCCCUCUUCAGGGGGACAACCUUCCGAAAGGGAGGCUAAUCCCGCGUAUAUCGGUUUCGGGCAUCCGUUAUCGAGGAAAGAUUCAUCGGAAGAGGAUGGGCAUGCGGCGCAUUAGCUUGACGGCGGGGUAACGGCCCACCGUGGCGACGAUGCGUAGGGGUUCUGAGAGGAAGGUCCCCCACACUGGUACUGAGACACGGACCAG